CCUACGGGAGGCAGCAGUAGGGAAUCUUCCACAAUGGACGAAAGUCUGAUGGAGCAACGCCGCGUGAGUGAAGAAGGGUUUCGGCUCGUAAAGCUCUGUUGGUAGUGAAGAAAGUUAGAGGUAGUAACUGGCCUUUAUCUGACGGUAAUUUCUUAGAAAGUCACGGCUAACUACGUGCCAGCAGCCGCGGUAAUUCGUAGGUGGCAAGCGUUGUCCGGAUUUAUUGGGCGUAAAGCGAGUGCAGGCGGUUCAAUAAGUCUGAUGUGAAAGCCGUCGGCUCAACCGGAGAAUUGCAUCAGAAACUGUUGGACUUGAGUGCAGAAGAGGAAAGUGGAACUCCAAGUGUAGCGGUGGAAUGCGUAGAUAUAAGGAGGAACACCAGUGGCGAAGGCGGCUCUCUGGACUGCAACUGACGCUGAGGCUCGAAAGCAUGGGUAGCGAACAGGAUUAGAUACCCCAGUAGUC
This 465-nucleotide ribosomal RNA is filed under the name uncultured bacterium. RNAcentral describes it as "partial 16S ribosomal RNA". It matches the Rfam family "Bacterial small subunit ribosomal RNA", at positions 338 to 795 of the family's 1533-position model. The record is from RNAcentral.